This 433-nucleotide ribosomal RNA is filed under the name uncultured bacterium. RNAcentral's name for it is "partial 16S ribosomal RNA". It matches the Rfam family "Bacterial small subunit ribosomal RNA", at positions 29 to 507 of the family's 1533-position model. The record is from RNAcentral.
AACGAACGCUGGCGGCAUGCCUAACACAUGCAAGUCGAACGAGACCUUCGGGUCUAGUGGCGCACGGGUGCGUAACGCGUGGGAACCUGCCCUUAGGUUCGGAAUAACUCCCCGAAAGGGGUGCUAAUACCGGAUAAUGUCUUCGGACCAAAGAUUUAUCGCCUUUGGAUGGGCCCGCGUUGGAUUAGCUAGUUGGUAGGGUAAAAGCCUACCAAGGAGAAGAUCCAUAGCUGGUCUGAGAGGAUGAUCAGACACACUGGGACUGAGACACGGCCCAGACUCCUACGGGAGGCAGCAGUGGGGAAUAUUGGAAAAUGGGCGAAAGCCUGAUCCAGCAAUGCCGCGUGAGUGAUGAAGGCCUUAGGGUUGUAAAGCUCUUUUACCCGGGAUGAUAAUGACAGUACCGGGAGAAUAAGCACCGGCUAACUCCGUG